RNAcentral lists this ribosomal RNA (843 nucleotides) under Chloridium aseptatum. Its description in RNAcentral is "partial large subunit ribosomal RNA". It matches the Rfam family "Eukaryotic large subunit ribosomal RNA", at positions 56 to 937 of the family's 3401-position model. The record is from RNAcentral. Lineage: Eukaryota; Fungi; Ascomycota; Sordariomycetes; Chaetosphaeriales; Chaetosphaeriaceae.
AAGACCAACAGGGAUUGCCCUAGUAACGGCGAGUGAAGCGGCAACAGCUCAAAUUUGAAAUCUGGCCCUAGGCCCGAGUUGUAAUUUGCAGAGGAUGCUUCGGGCGCGGUGCCUUCCAAGUCCCCUGGAACGGGGCGCCGGAGAGGGUGAGAGCCCCGUACGGUUGGCGGCCAAGCCUGUGUGAAGCUCCUUCGACGAGUCGAGUAGUUUGGGAAUGCUGCUCUAAGCGGGAGGUAGACCCCUUCUAAAGCUAAAUAUAGGCCAGAGACCGAUAGCGCACAAGUAGAGUGAUCGAAAGAUGAAAAGCACUUUGAAAAGAGGGUUAAAUAGCACGUGAAAUUGUUGAAAGGGAAGCGCUUGUGACCAGACGUGCGCCGGGGUGUUCAGCGGGCGUUCUCGCCCGUGCACUCGCCUCGGCGCAGGCCAGCGUCGGUUCGAGUGGGAGGAUAAAGGCGUCUGGAAUGUGGCUCCUCCGGGAGUGUUAUAGCCAGACGUGCCAUGCUCCCGCCCGGACCGAGGUACGCGUUCUGCAAGGACGCUGGCGUAAUGGUCUCCAGCGACCCGUCUUGAAACACGGACCAAGGAGUCGAGGUUUUGCGCGAGUGUUUGGGUGUUAAACCCGCACGCGUAAUGAAAGUGAACGUAGGUGGGAGCUUCGGCGCACCACCGACCGAUCCUGAUGUUUUCGGAUGGAUUUGAGUAAGAGCGUAGGGCCUCGGACCCGAAAGAUGGUGAACUAUGCUUGGAUAGGGUGAAGCCAGAGGAAACUCUGGUGGAGGCUCGCAGCGGUUCUGACGUGCAAAUCGAUCGUCAAAUCUGAGCAUGGGGGCGAAAGACUAAUCG